Molecule: ribosomal RNA, 373 nt
Filed under: uncultured bacterium
Lineage: Bacteria
Description: bacterial SSU rRNA
Rfam family: Bacterial small subunit ribosomal RNA
Source: RNAcentral
GAACCGUCCAAACGUUAUUCGGAAUUAUUGGGCUUAAAGGGUAUGUAGGCGGCGCUGUUAGUCGGGUGUGAAAUCCCUCGGCUCAACCGAGGAAUUGCGCCCGAAACUGUAGUGCUUGAGGGAGACAGAGGUAAGCGGAACUGAUGGUGGAGCGGUGAAAUGCGUUGAUAUCAUCAGGAACACCGGUGGCGAAAGCGGCUUACUGGGUCUCUUCUGACGCUGAGAUACGAAAGCUAGGGGAGCGAAGGGGAUUAGAUACCCCCGUAGUCCUAGCUGUAAACGAUGAGCACUUGAUCGGGGAUCCCCUCAUAGGUUCUCGGUCGUAGCGAAAGUGUCAAGUGCUCCGCCUGGGGAGUAUGGUCGCAAGGCUGAA